AAGAAACACAUCUCUGAAACCCAACGAGAAAGAACCCUACCAAACUAAGACGGCGCUUUCACACCUCCGAUCAAUUCGGCUGUAGUCUGUGCGUGCCGAAAUGACUAGAGCUUACAGGGUAAAGGGGAAGAAGAGGAAGAACAGGGACGUUGUUGAAAAGUACCACCGUGAAGAAAAAGAAGUCGAAGUCGAAGAUGAAGAACAAGUUCAACCAAAGAAACCAAAUCUUCAGAAGGAAGAACCAACACCAAUAAUAACAGAGGAAAACAAAAAUAACGAACUCAUUGUUAGAAGUCCCACAUUGGCUAGAGAUAUGGUAAAGAUAGCCUUUAUAAGUGUAGUGCAAACCUCAACUCUCAAGCUAGCUUUUGUGGUUGAGUAUAGGCCUCUAAAAUUCUAAUAUGGUAUCAGAGCC
Molecule: long non-coding RNA, 415 nt
Filed under: Trifolium pratense (red clover)
Lineage: Eukaryota; Viridiplantae; Streptophyta; Magnoliopsida; Fabales; Fabaceae
Description: long non-coding RNA (TPRA_LNC001053)
Source: RNAcentral